This 433-nucleotide ribosomal RNA is filed under the name uncultured bacterium. Its description in RNAcentral is "bacterial SSU rRNA". It matches the Rfam family "Bacterial small subunit ribosomal RNA", at positions 29 to 507 of the family's 1533-position model. The record is from RNAcentral.
AGCGAACGCUGGCGGCAGGCCUAAUACAUGCAAGUCGAACGGUUCCUUCGGGAACAGUGGCGGACGGGUGAGUAACACGUGGGAACGUGCCCUUUGGUACGGAACAACUGAGGGAAACUUCAGCUAAUACCGUAUGUGCCCUUCGGGGGAAAGAUUUAUCGCCAUUGGAGCGGCCCGCGUUGGAUUAGGUAGUUGGUGAGGUAAAGGCUCACCAAGCCUACGAUCCAUAGCUGGUCUGAGAGGAUGAUCAGCCACACUGGGACUGAGACACGGCCCAGACUCCUACGGGAGGCAGCAGUAGGGAAUCUUGCGCAAUGGGCGAAAGCCUGACGCAGCCAUGCCGCGUGAAUGAUGAAGGUCUUAGGAUUGUAAAAUUCUUUCACCGGGGACGAUAAUGACGGUACCCGGAGAAGAAGCCCCGGCUAACUUCGUG